UACGGAGGGAGCUAGCGUUGUUCGGAAUUACUGGGCGUAAAGCGCACGUAGGCGGCUAUUCAAGUCGGGGGUGAAAGCCCGGGGCUCAACCCCGGAACUGCCCUCGAAACUAGAUAGCUAGAAUCUUGGAGAGGUCAGUGGAAUUCCGAGUGUAGAGGUGAAAUUCGUAGAUAUUCGGAAGAACACCAGUGGCGAAGGCGACUGACUGGACAAGUAUUGACGCUGAGGUGCGAAAGCGUGGGGAGCAAACAGG
RNAcentral lists this ribosomal RNA (253 nucleotides) under uncultured bacterium. Its description in RNAcentral is "partial 16S ribosomal RNA". It matches the Rfam family "Bacterial small subunit ribosomal RNA", at positions 524 to 776 of the family's 1533-position model. The record is from RNAcentral.